This 447-nucleotide ribosomal RNA is filed under the name Molgula occidentalis. Its description in RNAcentral is "eukaryotic LSU rRNA". Lineage: Eukaryota; Metazoa; Chordata; Ascidiacea; Stolidobranchia; Molgulidae. The record is from RNAcentral.
ACGGCAAAAGAACUUUGAAGAGAGAGUUAAAAAGUACGUGAAACCGUUGUGAGGUAAACUGAGAGGCCCGGCGAGUCGCUUCGGCGCUUUCAGUUUGGCGUGUCGUGGUUUUCGUUGUCGGUGGAUGCUUUACGGCACUGCUGUCGGUGUUGACUGCGUUCGCCGAACGCACUAGUGCUGUUGCGAGUGACGCGACCGUUUGGAGGGCGACCAGAAGCUCCUGGCGAAGACAGUCUGAUAACCCUCGGGUUGUUGGGCAUUGCAGAGCUGGGAUGGGACGGCUUGUUCUUCGAACGUCGUAACCUGCCGCGCCCGCCUUUCGGGGCGAUUGCUGUUGUUAGCGGCGGUUAGCUUCGACCUGCUCACUAUUCUUAGAGGGUUGGACGUUGCUGGCUGUCGUCUGGCGGCGGUUCUCGAGGGCGCUAAGGGUCUGCGUUAAUGCCGGCC